AUGAUUGCUGAAUCUGCCUCCUGUGCUCCUGGUGCCAUCACCAACAGGGUCUAUAGUAGCCGUCUUCAUACUCCUACCUUAGUUUUCAACUUCAUCUUUUGUAGUACAGUAAACAGUAAAAGCUGCUCUGUUACUUCAAAGAUUUCUGAACGGCACAGGGGCACACGUGCUCCAAACUUAUAUAACACUAAGAAAAACGAGUAGCUGUUCAGGUUGGUGAGGGUGUGACAACGAUUUUAAAAUAAGCUUCUACAAUAUGUAUAUGUAUUUUAUAUACUGACAAAUCUUUUAAUCUGCAAGAAUCACAUCUAGUAAUGAAUCACAUUCUUGGAGUGAAUAAUUCAGCCCUUGACGCCAACCUCUGAGGGAGAAUAUUGUGGUCAUGGUGUCUGAACAGUGUGGUAGCUAUGGCUACCUAUAUAAUUCUUAGCAAUGGAAAAAAAGUGACAAUGACAUUAAAUUUAAUCAGGUUCCCCUUUUCUGCGGUUCCCACUGGGAUGAGCCACUAGUGUCUUGCCUUAAAUAUUCAAAGCCUUCAAAGUUUGCAUGUGUUCAUAUACUGGGACAAUAUCCUGCUAAUACAGAACAAUGGAUCUGUCAUGUAUUUCUCCUGUGAGUAGCCGUAAGUCUGAAUUUAGUUAGUAUAGGGUAUUAUGAUUGCUUCUUCUUUAGCAAUUGUCUUUACAUUAGUCUUCACUUAGAAGGAAGAAGAGCAGUAAUGAAAUGUAGGCAAAAAUACAAUGAACUUGGCUAUUUUGGUUUGGAAAUAUGGAGCAGAGGACUGUGUCUUCUUAAAAAGAUCCAGCUUUAUUUCCAGUCACACUUCAUCUGAUAUGAAUGAGCUGGUACUACAUAUCACAUGGCUGAAUACAUUUGGGAAACAAGACCAAACGUAUAUUUAGGAAAGAGAGCUUAAAAAAUCAAGCUGGAGUAGCUAAAUGCAUGAUUUGUAAGGCUACUUUCUGUAUUUUAUUUACAGAGCUGUGAAAAUGUGACUUUUAUUAAUA
RNAcentral lists this long non-coding RNA (1007 nucleotides) under Anser cygnoides (Swan goose). Its description in RNAcentral is "lncRNA (ENSACDG00005008387.1)". Lineage: Eukaryota; Metazoa; Chordata; Aves; Anseriformes; Anatidae. The record is from RNAcentral.